This 397-nucleotide ribosomal RNA is filed under the name uncultured bacterium. RNAcentral describes it as "bacterial SSU rRNA". It matches the Rfam family "Bacterial small subunit ribosomal RNA", at positions 8 to 407 of the family's 1533-position model. The record is from RNAcentral.
AGAGUUUGAUCCUGGCUCAGAUUGAACGCUGGCGGCAGGCCUAACACAUGCAAGUCGAGCGGAUGAAGGGAGCUUGCUCCCUGAUUUAGCGGCGGACGGGUGAGUAAUGCCUAGGAAUCUGCCUGGUAGUGGGGGAUAACGUUCCGAAAGGAACGCUAAUACCGCAUACGUCCUACGGGAGAAAGCAGGGGACCCUCGGGCCUUGCGCUAUCAGAUGAGCCUAGGUCGGAUUAGCUAGUUGGUGAGGUAAUGGCUCACCAAGGCGACGAUCCGUAACUGGUCUGAGAGGAUGAUCAGUCACACUGGAACUGAGACACGGUCCAGACUCCUACGGGAGGCAGCAGUGGGGAAUAUUGGACAAUGGGCGAAAGCCUGAUCCAGCCAUGCCGCGUGUGUG